GCGCUCGCUUCGGCAGCACAUAUACUAAAAUUGGAACGAUACAGAGAAGAUUAGCAUGGCCCCUGCGCAAAGAAAAAAAAAAGAAGUAGGUCCAAUGUUU
Molecule: small nuclear RNA, 100 nt
Filed under: Microtus ochrogaster (prairie vole)
Lineage: Eukaryota; Metazoa; Chordata; Mammalia; Rodentia; Cricetidae
Source: RNAcentral